UUAACUCAUAUUUGUAUGGAGUUGGAACGUUUGCCGCUAGGGGCGCUGUUCCAACUGCAUACAAAUUUAAGAUA
This 74-nucleotide microRNA precursor is filed under the name Bombyx mori (domestic silkworm). RNAcentral's name for it is "mir-2807 microRNA precursor family". It matches the Rfam family "mir-2807 microRNA precursor family". Lineage: Eukaryota; Metazoa; Arthropoda; Insecta; Lepidoptera; Bombycidae. The record is from Rfam by way of RNAcentral.